This is a long non-coding RNA of Drosophila ananassae, 924 nucleotides long. RefSeq lists it as uncharacterized. NCBI's taxonomy places the organism in Eukaryota, Metazoa, Arthropoda, Insecta, Diptera, Drosophilidae. The record is from RefSeq and is a predicted model, not a curated record. The transcript has 3 exons.
AUCUGUAUCUGUGGCCAUAGCGGUAUCUGUGUGUGCGCGAUAUGGGUACUGGUGUGUGUUUAUGCGCCGCUAUCUCUUUCCAGCAGUCGCACCCAUCGAACUAUGGCGCCUGCUGGCCCGCUCGCUCCUCGAUUAUUUUAUCUGCUCCGUAGGCAACCAAUCGGAUGGUCGUUUCAUUGCCAGGCCCCAGUAAUUGCUGUGCACACACACCCCCGCCCUCAGAUCCAGUUCCAGCCGCCCCCACCGCGCCCCUGGCCACUUUCGGGCUACGAUAAUUUCACGCAGUGCUAAUUAAUUGCCCAACAAUCGAAGCGUUUUGGAAUGCAGGCUUAAAGAGCGUGGGAACUAACCGAAAAUAUGAAUGAAAUCACGGCUGAGAGGGGUCAGAGGAAGUUGUCGCCUCAGUUUGGACAAGCCAUCGAAUAAACUGGAAAUCCCAGAGCUGGGAAGCCAGGAAGGCCAGCGGAGGCAGCCAAAUUCAAUUAGUAAUAAACAAGACUUUGAUAUAUGGAGGAAUAUCUACCCGCAGGCCACAAUCGAUCGAUUCAACGAAGGUGGUGUAUCCCACCCGGCUUCCCAGAUUCCAGAUUUCAGAUUCUAGAUUCCAGAUCCACACAUGUGUGUGACUAUAAAAUUUAUUAAAGCCCAGGGGCUGGGCAGGGGCAACAAAUAGUUGCGUGGGCAUCUGUGGGGAUCUGAAGUUAGCAGUUGCAGUUGCACUUCCAGUUGCCAUUCAGUCGGUGCAUAAUAAAGCAAUUCAGAGAAAUCAUUUGGGAGGCCAUUUGAAGUGCGCCUAUUAAAUGCGGCAAGAAAUCACAGCCAAGGCGCAACAAGCUGUAAACUUGUUGCAGAUAAAAAAAAAUUUGAAAGAUAUUCGCAAAAGGGUAUGGUACUAUAUGGGUCGCAAGAAUAGAUCUUAUUGAA